RNAcentral lists this ribosomal RNA (462 nucleotides) under Gyrophaena vitrina. RNAcentral's name for it is "partial 16S ribosomal RNA". It matches the Rfam family "Bacterial large subunit ribosomal RNA", at positions 1851 to 2575 of the family's 2925-position model. The record is from RNAcentral. Lineage: Eukaryota; Metazoa; Arthropoda; Insecta; Coleoptera; Staphylinidae.
AGUCUAGCCUGCCCAAUGAGUAUUUGAAUGGCCGCAGUAUUUUGACUGUGCAAAGGUAGCAUAAUCAUUAGUUUUUUAAUUGAAAGCUGGAAUGAAAGGUUGGACAAGAAAAUAGCUGUCUCUUUAUAAAUUUGUUAGAAUUUUAUUUUUAAGUUAAAAAGCUUAAAUAAAUUUAAAAGACGAGAAGACCCUAUAGAGUUUUAUAAAAUUUGUUAUUAUUUUUUUUUAUUGUUUAAAUUAAUUAUAAAUUUUAUUUUAUUGGGGUGAUGGAAAAAUUUUAUAAACUUUUUUUAUAUUUUUACAUAUUUAAAUGAUUUAUUGAUCCUUAGUUAAAGAUUAUAAGAUUAAAUUACCUUAGGGAUAACAGCGUAAUUUUUUUGGAGAGUUCAAAUCGAUAAAAAAGUUUGCGACCUCGAUGUUGGAUUAAAAUUAAAUUUUGGUGUAGAAGCUAAAAUAUUUAGG